UGAGAACUGAAUUCCAUGGGCUGGUCACGCAGUUUUCUUCCUCAGUCCAUAGUAGUCAGUUCUUCC
Molecule: microRNA precursor, 66 nt
Filed under: Callorhinchus milii (elephant shark)
Lineage: Eukaryota; Metazoa; Chordata; Chondrichthyes; Chimaeriformes; Callorhinchidae
Description: Cmi-Mir-146-P2_pre stem-loop
Source: RNAcentral